This 325-nucleotide ribosomal RNA is filed under the name uncultured bacterium. RNAcentral describes it as "partial 16S ribosomal RNA". It matches the Rfam family "Bacterial small subunit ribosomal RNA", at positions 355 to 672 of the family's 1533-position model. The record is from RNAcentral.
UAGGGAAUCUUCCACAAUGGACGCAAGUCUGAUGGAGCAACGCCGCGUGAGUGAAGAAGGUCUUCGGAUCGUAAAGCUCUGUUGUUGGUGAAGAAGGAUAGAGGCAGUAACUGGUCUUUAUUUGACGGUAAUCAACCAGAAAGUCACGGCUAACUACGUGCCAGCAGCCGCGGUAAUACGUAGGUGGCAAGCGUUGUCCGGAUUUAUUGGGCGUAAAGCGAGCGCAGGCGGAAUGAUAAGUCUGAUGUGAAAGCCCACGGCUCAACCGUGGAACUGCAUCGGAAACUGUCAUUCUUGAGUGCAGAAGAGGAGNGUGGAACUCCAU